GCGCUUACCGCCCAGCCGGCUCAGAGAUUGAAGGACAACAAAAAAUGUCUGCAUUCGGUGGGUGCCUCCUUCUCUGGAGUGCAGGUGGUGGGACCAGGCUAUUCUAGGGGAGCUGCCCAUACGCCCUCCCACGAGGAAGUCUGCCAGAGCUGCACAAAGCACCUUGAGGUGACAUUUCCAGAAAUGGCAGUUCAGCGUGACAAAGGACACAACACUGCUGGGAAGAUAAGUGAAAGGUGACAAGACCAUGCAGCUGCCAAGGAACAGGAUCUCUUUGGUAACCUCACGUCAGCACUAGAUGUAACCAAGUUCAAGUGUUGUAAUCUUGAUGGAGAUUCAAGUCAACCUCCAUUGCUAAUGCUCGCAUCUGAUUUCUGUGAUAUGGACUGCAUGGAAUUAACCCAAAAGCUGUUACUGAAGCCUUUAAACCUGAUGAAAGUCAUCCAGAGUGACUGCUGAGAACAGCAUAGGGAACAGGUUCUGUGAAUCCCAAAGGAAACAAUAUUCAUCUUUUCAUCCUGGAGGAAGGAGCUGCCUAAAAGGAAGACUGCUGAGAACACAAAGCACUGACACAAUGUUUGAGAUGUUCUAUAGAAGCAACAUACAGAGAUUGCACCAUUCAUCAAGCUGCAUAUAUUGCUCCUUUGCAAACAGUUUUUUCCCCCUGUUUUUUUUUUUUUUUCUCAGCUGCCAAAGUGGUAAGGAAAAUCAUUUAGUUCGUCAUGUGAGUCCCCUGUGAAGGUACUGAGCUGGACAGUACUUGCUAAGACUUCCAGACAAAAGAGGACAAUACAGACAACUCAGCAGGGAGAGCAUAAAACUAGAAAAUCUUGGAAGUUGUGGUUGCUUGUCUCCUCACUCAAGGAGCUACAAUGAACUGAAAAAGUUGUACCCCGAAAAUUCCCUGAAAUCUUUCCUGUUUGGUCUCAAUGGUGCCAUUGAGACCAAACUGAAAAGAUAUGGGGCUGUCUAAAUAGGAAAACAAUUCCCUAGUUCAGAAAAAAAAAAAGGUACUGGACACCAAAAACUUUGUGACUUGAUAAAUGGAACAUGACACUAGGUAGCAAUAACAAGAAAAGAGUUUUCACUUUAGAAAAAAAAAUCUUAUCAGCCACCCACCAUGCGCUAUAAUUUAAAAGCUUUUGAGCAAAAAAGCACUGCUUUACUGCUAAAAGGUUUAAAAUGCUGCAGUAUGUAGACCAAAAAGUCUUGAUUAGCUGUGGCAGAUGAGUCAGCAGAGAAACAGUUCACAAUGCAGUGCAGCCCUUACAUUUUGACAUGUAUUGUUAAGGGCUCCCCAAAGUCAUUCCAAAGAGGCAAAGUAAGAAGGAAAAAAGAAAAAAAAAAUUGAAAAAUAAAAAGAAAAAAGAAGAAAAGGAAAUUUUGGCAUAAUGAAUUCAACCUUGAAAAUAACAUAAAGGAAAGGAUAUGAAAAUGGAGGGCAUAGCAUUCUUCAUCAACAUAGAUUUUGUGGAGAUUUUGGAAUUAGCAUACAAAAUUUAGUCUUUCCUGUCACAGGGGAUUCCCCAACAUGUCUAUGUAUUGGAUUGUCCUGGCACACUCCAGGCAGAAACUUACUUUUGCAGCCAGGGAAGCAGUGUUUUAAUAUUAUGUGCUACAACACAAGCUCUUUUCUAUUUUUGAGAGAAAGAAAAUGUUACAUAAAUACAGUAACAGAUGUGCAGUAGUGCUGGAUGACUACACAUUGUGCAUCUAUAUGUGACUCUACUAUCUAAAAAUCUAAAGAAACAAAAAUAAUUUGAUUGAAGGCCUGGAUAAAACAUAUCCCAGUAA
Long non-coding RNA from Motacilla alba alba, 1794 nucleotides. RefSeq lists it as uncharacterized. The record is from RefSeq and is a predicted model, not a curated record. Lineage: Eukaryota; Metazoa; Chordata; Aves; Passeriformes; Motacillidae. The transcript has 4 exons.